UAUAUAUAGAAAGAUUUAUUCAAUGUUAAAGCACCUAUAUUGUUAAUCAACAGUAAUGCAAUUAUAUAUAUUACCUGAACAAAAAUAUAAAUGCACUGUUAUAGUUAAAAAGACUAGAUGUAAUACAAUCUGUUUGAAGUAAAUUCUUUUCUGAUAAUGUUAUUUUUAAUUCAGAAUAAACAUUUGUGUGAUUAUGGAAUAUAUAAUCUGUGUCAUAUGAACGUUUUAUUAGUUCUAAUUAAGUGUGGUUGUAUAAAACAUUUCUGUGAAAUGAAGCAGAUAAGUUUAAAGCUGUUAAAAUAAUAUGCAUAUUACUUACAAUUUGCUCACAUACAAAUAUACACUCCUGCAAAUGCUUCAUGAAUUGUUUAAAUAUCGUACAAAUGUCUUUUAAAUGUAAGAUAUUUAUGAAAUUGCUUCAGUUCUCAUAUCAGAAAACUAAGGAGAACAUGACAUUGCUUUCAGCUAUUUGUCUAUUUAGAACGUUUUUAAACAAAUUUAUUAUCUCCCUUGAUACAUAGUACCAAAAAAGAGGUAAAAAAUGCCAAACUCUUACCAGAAGGUUGUUAUAGAUGAAUAGCAAUCAACUGUAGAAACUUUCUAUGUUGACGUUUUUAUAAUACAAUCAACAAAGAGCAUUGCCAAAUAUUUCAGUCUAACAGUCAAUCGACAACCAGUAACUUAAGUUUUCAAUUUCUUCCUUUUUAAAACAUUCAUAAGGAUUCAAAGAAAUUAUCUCCCUUUUUUAAAACAUUCAUAAGGAUUAAAAGAAGUUAUCUCCCUUCCUUCUUCACAAUACAUAUCAGCAAAUAUUCAGGCAGUAAAAAGUAAAUAUCUUGAUUAUGUAAAAUAGUUAAAAUAAAAUAUUACAAAAAUACAACUGCAUAACAAAAAAUUGUAGCAUUAACAACUGACGUUGAUGAUUUGUGUUAUAAAAUGACUGGAUGAGAUUAAAUGUUGAUUUCGUGCAACUGAACACAUACAUGUGCAAAAAUACUUUUAAAGAUAUAUGUAUAUUAUAUAUUCAACAAAUAUAUGUAAUAAUGUCAAUUUUGUGUAUUGACACAGAAAGUAACACAUGUGAUAGUCCUGUGGUCUUUGUAAGCAGCAACCAUUUUGUUUUAUCAAAAUAAUUUAAUAGAUGCCAUCUACCUUGAGUUUUGUACAGAAGGUUGUUGAUGGUGUUUAAAGUCCUUCACAGCAACUUAAUGCUGUAAGUUGGAAAGUAGUUUAUACAGCUGAACAUUUCCAAUUGUAUACAUUCAUUUUACAUUGAUGCUCAACACAAAUAUAAAUGUUUGAUGCACCAUAUAAAUAUAUUUUUUAUGUACCACAUAAACAUAAGUGUGAUGCGCUAUAAAUAUGUAAUCGGUAGAUGUUCUAAUGGAAAUGUAUAGCAAAAAUGCCUAAAACAUGAAGAUGAAAUAACAUUCCUAUACAAUUGCAUUUUAAAUUCAAUUUUCUCCAACCUAAAUGAACUUUUUUUGUAACAAUGAUUACUGCUAACAAAGUCUUUACGAUACAUGUAACAACCAUAAAAAGCCAGCUUUUCAUUCAGAUAGACAUAAAUAAACAAUCUGCAAAAAAACAGAAAUGAGGGAAAAUACACAAACUAUUCCUUGAAUAUCUUAAUAAGGAAAAUAAGAAAAUGCUGAAAAUUAUAAUUAUGCUGUUUCACUGUUGCAAAAAUGUCUGGUUAUAGAAAUAAUGAAAUUUGUCUGGUUACAAACUACACUUGUUUAUUUUAUUUUCACAUUAUGCACAAAAAAGAAAAAUGCACUUAAUCUAUGUUUAUAAAAUGUAACCUUAAAAUAUUGUUUUAAUCUGAAGUAUCAUGUUUUCUAAUUGUGAGGCCUAUAUCUCAGAUUAUUUUUCUAAACUAAACCUAAUCUAAACAAUGUUUUUCUUAACUAAAUAACAGUUUUGAUUUUCAAUUUUGACAACCAAUAUCAUUUUUGGAGUAUCAAUUCAGAUGAUUGUCCAAAAAUCUAUACAAUCUACGCUGGAUUUCAAAUUUUGUUUUAAAGCUUUUGUCCAAUUUUUAGGAUUUAUGAAUAAUUAAACAAAACAAGGAGUUAAAACAAAAGUUUUUUCUUUGGAAAUUCAAUUUUAAUAUAAAAUUAAUAACUUUCUGAAAAAAAUUGAAGAUCCUACUUUAAAAUAAAAUUCAUGCUUAAUUUAAUAUAGGAAUAAUAUUACCUCCUUUUUACUACCAUUAAAACAAAGAUUGCCAUUUAUUGCACAAGGAAAUAUUCAUAGUAGAGAAAACAAGUAAAGCAAAAGAGAAAUUAAACUGAUUGAACACAAUAUACUGUAUUGCACAGCGAUUUUGAAUCAAAUUUUGCAGAUAUAAUUCUGAAUAUCAAUUUAUCUAUAUAUGGUAUUUUUCAUUACAAAAAUUUUACCUAAUGUUUUGUUAAAUUUAUUGUUAUACAAUGCAAUUAUACAAGUAAUACAAUGAAGUAAAAUAUAUUCUUAUACGUAAUUUUGUGUCAUAUAAAGAUUUCCGUGCAGUGAAUAUGUUUUCUCAAUUGUAUAUAGCACUGAAUAAACAAAAACAUUCUCUACUGUUAAAACUACGAACACAAAAUAAUUCAAUAUUGCACAUAAAAUCUGUACAAAAAAUAAUAAUAAUAAACAAAACUUAACAAAAAUCAUCAAUUUUAGGCACUUUAAAUGCUU
RNAcentral lists this long non-coding RNA (2682 nucleotides) under Mytilus galloprovincialis (Mediterranean mussel). The record is from RNAcentral. Lineage: Eukaryota; Metazoa; Mollusca; Bivalvia; Mytilida; Mytilidae.